AGCAGCCGCGGUAAUUCCAGCUCCAAUAGCGUAUAUUAAAGUUGUUGCAGUUAAAAAGCUCGUAGUUGAAUUUCGGGAUCAUCAGGUUGGUCGUGCCUCUGGUAUGUACUGAUUUCGAUGGUUCCUCCUUCUUGAAGAGCCGUAAUGUCAUUAAUUUGGUGUUGCGGGAAAUCAGGACUGUUACUUUGAAAAAUUAGAGUGUUUAAAGCAGGCAAUCGCUUGAAUACAUUAGCAUGGAAUAAUGAAAUAGGACGUUCGAUCCUAUUUUGUUGGUUUCUAGGAUUGACGUAAUGAUUAAUAGGGAUAGUUGGGGGCAUUAGUAUUCAAUUGUCAGAGGUGAAAUUCUUGGAUUUUAUUGAAGACUAACUACUGCGAAAGCAUUUGCCAAGGAUGUUUUCAUUAAUCAAGAACGAAAGUUAGGGGAUCGAAGACGAUCAGAUACCGUCGUAG
Molecule: ribosomal RNA, 450 nt
Filed under: uncultured Glomeromycotina
Lineage: Eukaryota; Fungi; Glomeromycota
Description: SSU rRNA
Rfam family: Eukaryotic small subunit ribosomal RNA
Source: RNAcentral